CACGGGCAUGGGCGAAGCCUGACCGCAAUGCCGCGUGCAGGAAGAAGGCCUUCGGGUUGUAAACUGCUUUUGUACGGAACGAAACGGUCUGCCCUAAUACGGCGGGCUAAUGACGGUACCGUAAGAAUAAGCACCGGCUAACUACGUGCCAGCAGCCGCGGUAAUACGUAGGGUGCGAGCGUUAAUCGGAAUUACUGGGCGUAAAGCGUGCGCAGGCGGUUAUGUAAGACAGUUGUGAAAUCCCCGGGCUCAACCUGGGAAUUGCAUCUGUGACUGCAUAGCUAGAGUACGGUAGAGGGGGAUGGAAUUCCGCGUGUAGCAGUGAAAUGCGUAGAUAUGCGGAGGAACACCGAUGGCGAAGGCAAUCCCCUGGACCUGUACUGACGCUCAUGCACGAAA
RNAcentral lists this ribosomal RNA (399 nucleotides) under uncultured bacterium. Its description in RNAcentral is "bacterial SSU rRNA". It matches the Rfam family "Bacterial small subunit ribosomal RNA", at positions 359 to 758 of the family's 1533-position model. The record is from RNAcentral.